CAUGUAGGUAUCUUCCCUUUGGCCUGGAAUAACACGAGGAAACUUGUGCUAAUACUGGAUAAGUCUUUACGGAGAAAGCUUUAUGCACCAUUGGAUGAGCCUGCACUUGAUUAGUUUGUUGGUGGGGUAAUGGCCUACCAAGACUGUGAUCAAUAGCUGAUUUGAGAGGAUGAUCAGCCACAUUGGGACUGAGACACGGCCCAAACUCCUACGGGAGGCAGCAGUGGGGAAUCUUGCACAAUGGAGGAAACUCUGAUGCAGCGAUGCCGCGUGAGUGAAGAAGGCCCUUGGGUUGUAAAGCUCUUUCGUCGGGGAAGAAAAUGACUGUACCUGAAUAAGAAGGUCCGGCUAACUUCGUGCCAGCAGCCGCGGUAAUACGAAGGGACCUAGCGUAGUUCGGAAUUACUGGGCUUAAAGAGUUCGUAGGUGGUUGAAAAAGUUGGUGGUGAAAUCCCAGAGCUUAACUCUGGAACUGCCAUCAAAACUUUUCAGCUAGAGUAUGAUAGAGGAAAGCAGAAUUUCUAGUGUAGAGGUGAAAUUCGUAGAUAUUAGAAAGAAUACCAAUUGCGAAGGCAGCUUUCUGGAUCAUUACUGACACUGAGGAACGAAAGCAUGGGUAGCGAAGAGGAUUAGAUACCCUCGUAGUCCAUGCCGUAAACGAUGUGUGUUAGACGUUGGAAAUUUAUUUUCAGUGUCGCAG
RNAcentral lists this ribosomal RNA (700 nucleotides) under uncultured bacterium. Its description in RNAcentral is "bacterial SSU rRNA". It matches the Rfam family "Bacterial small subunit ribosomal RNA", at positions 114 to 851 of the family's 1533-position model. The record is from RNAcentral.